GACGAACGCUGGCGGCGUGCUUAACACAUGCAAGUCGAACGGAAAGGCCCUGCUUUUGUGGGGUGCUCGAGUGGCGAACGGGUGAGUAACACGUGAGUAACCUGCCCUUGACUUUGGGAUAACUUCAGGAAACUGGGGCUAAUACCGGAUAGGAGCUCCUGCUGCAUGGUGGGGGUUGGAAAGUUUCGGCGGUUGGGGAUGGACUCGCGGCUUAUCAGCUUGUUGGUGGGGUAGUGGCUUACCAAGGCUUUGACGGGUAGCCGGCCUGAGAGGGUGAACGGCCACAUUGGGACUGAGAUACGGCCCAGACUCCUACGGGAGGCAGCAGUGGGGAAUAUUGCACAAUGGGCGGAAGCCUGAUGCAGCAACGCCGCGUGCGGGAUGACGUCCUUCGGGUUGUAAACCGCUUUCGCCUGUGACGAAGCGUGAGUGACGGUAAUGGGUAAAGAAGCACCGGCUAACUACGUG
This 468-nucleotide ribosomal RNA is filed under the name uncultured bacterium. RNAcentral describes it as "partial 16S ribosomal RNA". It matches the Rfam family "Bacterial small subunit ribosomal RNA", at positions 28 to 507 of the family's 1533-position model. The record is from RNAcentral.